GGAAUGAACUGGCAUCACGGCAAGGAGCUGCCUCCUAGGACCUGUGUCUGGUGCUAGGGAGAACCAGCUACUGCCAACCUAGCCGGGUAGGCAGGGUUUGGGGGAAACAUACUGUUCUCACCUCUCUCCUUGUCUUCCAUCCUGUGGAGAUCCCCGUUGGUUGACUCUACCCUGGAGCCAGAGAGUAAAGGAGGCUGGUGAGGCUGUCCCAGAGACCAACCUCCUGACACAGAGCAGGACCUGGUCUUCUGGGGAGAUUGGCAGAGCUGGAAAGCAGGAGCCGAUCUACGCCAAGCAAGAGACUCUUUAACCUCUCAUCGCCUUAAGACCUAGAAAACCAAGUUGCCGGACCCCAGAUGAUUCUCCAAAACUGCAAAGAAUGAAAAAUCUUCCCUUCUGAACGCGUCGAGCAGCUUUUGCUGGAGAUGCACCGGGCCCCUGUUAGAAGAAGAUGGCUCCUCUCUGGAAGGGAUGGGAGCUUUGGUUAUAACGAGGGGACGUAAGUCUUUGGCCUCAGGCCUGCCAGGCCCUGCCUCUGCAAACAAGGGAAUGGGCGCCGAUGGAGGCCCCAACAGCCGAUCAUUUGGUGCGGAGCCGUCGGAGUGCAGGCCCAUCCAGCAGGAGAGAAGAGUCAUUUAG
This 639-nucleotide long non-coding RNA is filed under the name Chinchilla lanigera (long-tailed chinchilla). Its description in RNAcentral is "lncRNA (ENSCLAG00000026540.1)". Lineage: Eukaryota; Metazoa; Chordata; Mammalia; Rodentia; Chinchillidae. The record is from RNAcentral.